AUAAAAUUCAGGGAAUUGGAAACUUGUGGUGUAUGUUUUUUUAUUUUUAUAAAUCAGGUCAAAAGGAAUACUCUAUAUAUAAAGAAAUAAAAAAAUUGUUUCAAAAUAAUUAUGACAAGUUUUUAUUUAUUUUUAGUUAUUAAGACCAGCUGUAUAUAUAAUGGAGUCUCAAGGAUGAAUUUGUCUUUGCUGGAUUUUUUUUUUAUUAUUUUUAUUGAAAAUGUUAAUAUAAUAUGCACAACAAAUUCCAAUGUGGAAUUCUAUUUUUCUUGAUUAUUCACAAGUAUUCCCACUUAAAAAACACUGUUUUUAUAAACUCUACAAGGUAUCUUUCAUAAACGCUGCAGUACUUUGCAUAAUAUUGAAAUAUGUAUUCACGAUCAUAUGUAAUUCAAUCGUUUUGACUUCUAAAGAGUACUCUCCUCCUUAAUAACAACACACUUUUAUUAUUACGUUUUUGAUUUUUUCUUUUUUUUUUUCUUUUCCAUUUUUGUAAUGGUAUUUUAAAUCUGAGUUCGUUAAAGCUAGUAGCCCAUUCUGAAAACAAAGAAAACACACAGAAUAAAAACGGAUGCUGCAUAUCCCCAAGAA
This 591-nucleotide long non-coding RNA is filed under the name Physcomitrium patens. Its description in RNAcentral is "long non-coding RNA (PPAT_LNC006693)". Lineage: Eukaryota; Viridiplantae; Streptophyta; Bryopsida; Funariales; Funariaceae. The record is from RNAcentral.